RNAcentral lists this ribosomal RNA (485 nucleotides) under uncultured bacterium. Its description in RNAcentral is "partial 16S ribosomal RNA". It matches the Rfam family "Bacterial small subunit ribosomal RNA", at positions 28 to 523 of the family's 1533-position model. The record is from RNAcentral.
GAUGAACGCUGGCGGCGUGCUUAACACAUGCAAGUCGAACGGAAAGGCCUCAGCUUGCUGGGGUACUCGAGUGGCGAACGGGUGAGUAACACGUGGGUGAUCUGCCCUGCACUUUGGGAUAAGCCCGGGAAACUGGUCUAAUACCGAAUAUGACCACUUCUUGGAUGUUGUGGUGGAAAGCUUUUGCGGUGUGGGAUGAGCCUGCGGCCUAUCAGCUUGUUGGUGGGGUGAUGGCCUACCAAGGCGGCGACGGGUAUCCGGCCUGAGAGGGUGUACGGACACAUUGGGACUGAGAUACGGCCCAGACUCCUACGGGAGGCAGCAGUGGGGAGUAUUGCACAAUGGGCGCAAGCCUGAUGCAGCGACGCCGCGUGGGGGAUGAAGGCCUUCGGGUUGUAAACUCCUUUCGCUAUCGACGAAGCCACUUGUGGUGACGGUAGGUAGAUAAGAAGCACCGGCUAACUACGUGCCAGCCGCCGCCGUAA